Prunus dulcis (almond) is the source of this 566-nucleotide long non-coding RNA. RefSeq lists it as uncharacterized. The record is from RefSeq and is a predicted model, not a curated record. The transcript has 2 exons. Lineage: Eukaryota; Viridiplantae; Streptophyta; Magnoliopsida; Rosales; Rosaceae.
CUAGACUACCUUAAAUAACCCCCACAACCCAUGUUUGGUGAAGCACUUCUUUAAGUUAAAUGAGACUAGAGAGUCCGGGCCCUGCGCUCCAUUGUGCUUUGCUUUUCUCUUCUUGUGCUCUAUGCUCUCACUCACUCAGUACACGUGGAGGUCAUUUUUGCAACAUCAACUUAAAAAGUGGGACCAAUUUUUACCACAUCAGCAGUUAACAGAAUUCUUAAUGGUCUUGUUAACGGAGGGGCUUGGAUGUAGGAUUUCUGUGAGUUUGGGUAUGAGUUUGCAGGGUCUUCAAAACUUGGGUGCCAACGUGAAAUAACCCCCAAAGUGCAACGGGUUUUAUGUAGUUGAUCUUUUAAGUAAGGAGUUUGAUAGAAAAAGCCGUUUGUACAACAACUCUAAUCAUAGCUCUGAUUGUAAUCCUUGUUUAAUCUCUUAUUGAAUUUAGCUACUUUGCUUCUGCUUACCCCCAACAAUGUCUUGAACUAUGGAGCAAGAUACAAUAUUGUCUUGAGGCAAUUCCUCAAUGCUCAAACAUUUAUAUAUGUCAAGAAAGAUUAAUUUUUUUA